Molecule: long non-coding RNA, 746 nt
Filed under: Sorghum bicolor (sorghum)
Lineage: Eukaryota; Viridiplantae; Streptophyta; Magnoliopsida; Poales; Poaceae
Description: long non-coding RNA (SBIC_LNC013642)
Source: RNAcentral
CUCUCUCCCUUUCUUUAUUUCCUUUUUCCUUAUGCAACUUGCCACAUACGUCAAUCAUAAACAAAUCGACAGGUUCAGUGAUCUCUAAAUGAAAAUUUUAUUGUCAUCCAUUUGUGAGCAUACAAACGACAUGACUACCUGCAGUUUGCACAGCCGCAUGUCUUAGCCUCAACUACACAAGACACUUGUGCAUUGCCAGUGCAUCUAUAUUCCCAGCAGCAUGCCAUUACGGUACAGAUUUUUCCUUGGCAACAGCUGCAUUGUCCGCAAGUAUGAUAUACUCGAGCUGCUUCUGGCAUGUAAGCCAACUGGAACAAUGUCUUGAUGGACUCCACAUCCACGACUUCAGUAAUGUUACUUGCAGGUUCCAUUGCUCCUAUUUAUGAUGCAAACCACGGUUAUACUCCUUGGGCAAAAUCACAAGAUAACAAGUGAAAUUCAUCUCAACAGACUGCACGACUUGACUAUACAAGUGCUAAUCUUAGUCACAUACUGAGAAAACCAAAACUGUGUCAUAGAAACAAUAGUGCAAUUAGUCUUGACUCUCUUAAUAAUGCUUUAAAUUGAUAGAGGUCACACAAUUGCACGCACCUUCAGCUUGGCUUAUGUAGACAAAGAAAGGGAUCAAAAUUAGAGCAAGAACAUUUUGCGCCAUUUUCCCCAUAGAGAUGUACCGAAACAGAACCAAGUUCUUCGGUGGAUAUGUUUUGUCUUCUAAACUCGUGAAAAAUACAGAACAAAUUUGG